UACGUAGGGUGCGAGCGUUGUCCGGAAUUAUUGGGCGUAAAGAGCUCGUAGGCGGUCUGUCGCGUCGGUCGUGAAAACUUGGGGCUUAACCCUGAGCUUGCGGUCGAUACGGGCAUGACUGGAGUUCGGUAGGGGAGACUGGAAUUCCUGGUGUAGCGGUGAAAUGCGCAGAUAUCAGGAGGAACACCCGUGGCGAAGGCGGCUCUCUGGGACGGUACUGACGCUGAGACGCGAAAGCGUGGGGAGCGAACAGG
Molecule: ribosomal RNA, 254 nt
Filed under: uncultured bacterium
Lineage: Bacteria
Description: partial 16S ribosomal RNA
Rfam family: Bacterial small subunit ribosomal RNA
Source: RNAcentral